This 325-nucleotide long non-coding RNA is filed under the name Vigna radiata. RNAcentral describes it as "long non-coding RNA (VRAD_LNC002211)". The record is from RNAcentral. Lineage: Eukaryota; Viridiplantae; Streptophyta; Magnoliopsida; Fabales; Fabaceae.
AAGACUCAAUAGAUUCUUUGGUAAACAAGUGGGGAAAUAAGGACUUGAUAAGACUGAAUGAAGGAUGUCCAAGCCUUUGAUGAUGUAACCAUAUUUGGGAUUUUGCCCACGUCUCAGAUGUUGCUUGUUGACUCAUGAUUUUCGUGUUGCUUUGGUCAUCAAACUCUAAAAAAUACAACCCACUCUGAGGAUCCCUGAAGAUAUCAAUGAGGAAGAUGUAAGUAUUACUGAGGAUUUACCCAUUGCAUUGAGAAAGGGAAGAAGAUCAUGUGCUAAAUAUCCUAUUUAUCAAUAUGUUUGCACUAACAAUCUCUCUGAUAAGCAC